This 161-nucleotide unclassified non-coding RNA is filed under the name soil metagenome. Its description in RNAcentral is "partial internal transcribed spacer 1". The record is from RNAcentral.
AAGAGACGUUGCCCUUCGGGGUAUACCUCCCACCCUUUGUUUAUUAUACCUUUGUUGCUUUGGCGGGCCCGUCCUGGGACCACCGGCUUCUGCUGGUCAGUGCCCGCCAGAGGACCUAAAACUCUGUUUGUUAAUAUUGUCUGAGUACUAUAUAAUAGUUA